Molecule: non-coding RNA, 21 nt
Filed under: Caenorhabditis elegans
Lineage: Eukaryota; Metazoa; Nematoda; Chromadorea; Rhabditida; Rhabditidae
Source: RNAcentral
UGCUGACGUAUCAUAGGUAAA